Molecule: long non-coding RNA, 1364 nt
Filed under: Equus caballus (horse)
Lineage: Eukaryota; Metazoa; Chordata; Mammalia; Perissodactyla; Equidae
Description: lncRNA (ENSECAG00000059213.1)
Source: RNAcentral
CUCCUCUGCUGGGCCCGGGAUAAGAGAGGAAAGCUCUGCUCACAUGUUUCUAGCUCCUGACUCUGAGGGACUGGGAAAUAGGACAGUAUGAAGGAUGCCAUGGGAGCAAGGAGCAUACUUGAACCCCCAGCAGCUAGCACAGUACCCAGCAUAUAGUAAGCUCCUGGUCAAGAAUGUUGGCAGAGGCGCCUCAAGAAACACCUGCCUUCCACUCAUGAGCUGAAAUGUCAUUGCUGAAAGCGAGGCAGAUGAGUGGAAGUGGAAAGACCUGGGGCUGUGGGCGUCCUCGUGACCAGCCUGGCAAGGCCCACGCCUGCCCCAUGGAGACUCUGGGGCAGCCUUUGCAGAAGCAAACACUAUCAUCAGGUUUGCAUGAGUUCUGCUCCCUUGUUUUCUCUGCCUCUCGACUACCCACUUUAUUUCAGCCCUGCGGUGAAUUAUAUGUUUGGAGCAGAAGUAGGGGAGAACUCAGCCCCUUAGGAGUCAUGAGACUGUAAGAGGAUGCAUACUGCAGGGUACUUUUUCAGCUGAGAAACAGAAAACAUGGUCUGCUUUUUAAAUCUUACAAACAUACAGGUAAAGUCAACACGUACUUGUUGAUGUGGGGCUUUUGUAACCCAGCAACGUGUAGCAGCAAUCUGCCAGGAUACGCUGAAGCCCCAAUCCUGGGGAGCCACGCGCCAGCCAAGCGAAGAGCGGCUCCCUCUCCACGUCUCGACGUUAAUUCCUCCUUGGUGACACCUGCUUGGUAGAGUAAGGAAAAGGCCUGGAUUUUGCUAAUUUUAUUGUUUCUUAGUUACUAAACAGAAUGAGAUGUAGUCUCUGAAUAAGGGCCUGCCCCGGCUUUGCAGGAACUACAUGUGAAACCCAGGGCCCUGUGCUAAAAAAUGUCCAGCUUGUUUCUCAUCAAGUCACCUUACCUAUCUCAGCACCUGCACAGGCAACGGGACUGCCUGGACAUGCCCACCACUGUUAGGUCAGGUGUCCCUGAAAAGCUCCAUCAAAACACUUUGAAAGAGUGAACACAGCUUCCAAAACUCACACGCCGUUAUGAGCCAUGAGAGAAACUGCUUCCGUUUGACUAACGAGCAACGGCCCGUGCUCUUUUUGUUCCCAUUGCCAACAUUUGCCCCACCUGAGGUAAUUCACUGCUAUUAUCCUGGGGGUUUUCAGUUACCCUCUCUGUGCUGUGUGCUUGAUGGAAGGUGGCAGGGGACUGAGUCCAGGGGAGCUCCUGUUGAGAUGCAGAGAGUUGAAGUGAGCGGGCAGAUGGCCACACAGACUCCCAAUCCUCUGGGGUUCACUGGCCAAAAAAAGGUCAAGUCCAGGCUGAGUCACACGCAGAGAGCAAUUUUACUUUUGUU